RNAcentral lists this long non-coding RNA (545 nucleotides) under Monodelphis domestica (gray short-tailed opossum). RNAcentral's name for it is "lncRNA (ENSMODG00000033125.2)". Lineage: Eukaryota; Metazoa; Chordata; Mammalia; Didelphimorphia; Didelphidae. The record is from RNAcentral.
UAUUAUUAAAUAUAUUUAUAUAAAUAUAUAUAAUAAAUAUAAAAAUAAUUUUUAGACCUUUACCUUCCAUAGUAGAAUCAAUACUGUGUCUUUGUUCCAAGGCAGAAGAGGGAUAAGGGCUAGGCAAUGGAAGUUAAGUGGUUUGCCACCACUUUGACUGAGGCCAAAUCUGACCCAGGACCUUCUGUAAAGGUACAGCCAAAACUGGAAAUAGUGGCCAGACAGGAUGUCAGCAGAGUGGGCUACUCACUGGGGCCUUCCUCUGAUCACAGCCCACGUUUCAGUGGGGGGCAGCUCCUAAGCCAAGUUCUGAAGGAAAGAUUGCCCUCUUGGACAUCUGGGUAGGAAUUGAACCUGAACAAACUUCUAACUAAAGCAAAGGAGGAAGAUGAAUGAAAGGAUAGCCACAUCUUCUAGGUAAAGGACUCGACAAGGCACAAUGCUUUUCCAGACAUGAUUCUGUCCAGUAAUGAAACCUGGAAGAAAAUGAAGAUUCUACUUUUGAAUUCUUAAGAAGGAAAGAAGAAGAAGUUGGGUACAGUCUA